This 299-nucleotide signal recognition particle RNA is filed under the name Neogobius melanostomus (round goby). RNAcentral describes it as "Metazoan signal recognition particle RNA (ENSNMLG00000006967.1)". It matches the Rfam family "Metazoan signal recognition particle RNA". Rfam says of the family: The signal recognition particle (SRP) is a universally conserved ribonucleoprotein. It is involved in the co-translational targeting of proteins to membranes. The eukaryotic SRP consists of a 300-nucleotide 7S RNA and six proteins: SRPs 72, 68, 54, 19, 14, and 9. The record is from Rfam by way of RNAcentral. Lineage: Eukaryota; Metazoa; Chordata; Actinopteri; Gobiiformes; Gobiidae.
GCCGGGUGCGGUGGCUCGCGCCUGUAAUCCAAGUUACCGGGAGGCUGAGACUGGUGGAUCGUUUGAGCUUAGGAGCUCUGAGCUGCAGUGGACUAUGUCGAUCGGGUGUCCGCACUAAGUUCGGUAUCGAUAUGGUGCUCCUGGGGGAGCCCGGGACCACCAGGUCGCCUAAGGAGGGGUGCACCGGCCCAGGUCGGACACGGAGCAGGUCAAAGCCCCCGUGCCGCUCAGUAGUGGGAUCGCGCCUGUGAAUAGACGCUGUAGUGCAGCCUGAGUAAUACAGCGGGACCCAGUCUUUU